Molecule: ribosomal RNA, 290 nt
Filed under: uncultured fungus
Lineage: Eukaryota; Fungi
Description: partial 18S rRNA
Rfam family: Eukaryotic small subunit ribosomal RNA
Source: RNAcentral
CUANUNNANCAAUUUAUACAGUGAAACUGCGAAUGGCUCAUUAAAUCAGUUAUCGUUUAUUUGAUAGUACCUUUACUACUUGGAUAACCGUGGUAAUUCUAGAGCUAAUACAUGCUAAAAAUCCCGACUGUUUGGAAGGGAUGUAUUUAUUAGAUAAAAAAUCAAUGCUCUUUGAGCUCUUUGAUGAUUCAUAAUAACUUUUCGAAUCGCAUGGCCUUGUGCUGGCGAUGGUUCAUUCAAAUUUCUGCCCUAUCAACUUUCGAUGGUAGGAUAGUGGCCUACCAUGGUUU